GACGAACGCUGGCGGCGUGCUUAACACAUGCAAGUCGAACGAUGAAGCGGUGCUUGCACCGUGGAUUAGUUGCGAACGGGUGAGUAAUACGUGAGUGACCUACCUUUGACUCUGGGAUAAGCCUGGGAAACUGGGUCUAAUACCGGAUACGACCAAUCUCUGCCUGGGGUGUUGGUGGAAAGCGUGAUGGAGUGGUUUUAGAUGGGCUCACGGCCUAUCAGCUUGUUGGUGAGGUAAUGGCUUACCAAGGCGACGACGGGUAGCCGGCCUGAGAGGGUGACCGGCCACACUGGGACUGAGACACGGCCCAGACUCCUACGGGAGGCAGCAGUGGGGAAUAUUGCACAAUGGGCGCAAGCCUGAUGCAGCGACGCCGCGUGAGGGAUGACGGCCUUCGGGUUGUAAACCUCUGUUAGCAUCGAAGAAGCGAAAGUGACGGUAGGUGCAGAGAAAGCGCCGGCUAACUACGUG
This 471-nucleotide ribosomal RNA is filed under the name uncultured bacterium. RNAcentral describes it as "partial 16S ribosomal RNA". It matches the Rfam family "Bacterial small subunit ribosomal RNA", at positions 28 to 507 of the family's 1533-position model. The record is from RNAcentral.